This 501-nucleotide ribosomal RNA is filed under the name uncultured Glomus. RNAcentral's name for it is "SSU rRNA". It matches the Rfam family "Eukaryotic small subunit ribosomal RNA", at positions 569 to 1075 of the family's 1831-position model. The record is from RNAcentral. Lineage: Eukaryota; Fungi; Glomeromycota; Glomeromycetes; Glomerales; Glomeraceae.
AGCAGCCGCGGUAAUUCCAGCUCCAAUAGCGUAUAUUAAAGUUGUUGCAGUUAAAAAGCUCGUAGUUGAAUUUCGGGAUCAAUUUGCUGGUCGUGCCUUCGGUACGCACUGGUAUUAUUGGUUUCUCCUUUCUGAUGAAUCGCGAUGUCAUUAAUUUGGUGUCGUGGGGAAUCAGGACCGUUACUUUGAAAAAAUUAGAGUGUUUAAAGCAGGCUCACGCUUGAAUACAUUAGCAUGGAAUAAUGAAAUAGGACGUUUGAUUCUAUUUUGUUGGUUUCUAGGAUCGACGUAAUGAUUAAUAGGGAUAGUUGGGGGCAUUAGUAUUCAAUUGUCAGAGGUGAAAUUCUUGGAUUUAUUGAAGACUAACUACUGCGAAAGCAUUUGCCAAGGAUGUUUUCAUUAAUCAAGACGAAAGUUAGGGGAUCGAAGACGAUCAGAUACCGUCGUAGUCUUAACCAUAAACUAUGCCGACUAGGGAUCGGAUGAUGUUAAUUUUUUAAU